GACCGGAAGUGCGUUCCACCGCGGGCUGAUUGCGUUCCACAUUAGGAACUUCCAGCCUCCAGUAGCGCGGAUGUGACCAUGCACAAGUGAGCAUUAUUUAUUUCUACAGACGCUGCCAUGGUAACGGCUGUGAGACGUGCAGCAUGCAAGUGCGCGCUGACGUCAUGUUCCCGCGCCAGUGUCCGGGACGGACUCCCGGGCUGGAGAACGCGGCCAAUCCGUACACUUUCACAUGUAUUCGGGGGGUAUAAGAUGAAAGCUGUACAUGAGGAAUUUUCAUUGGAAAGGUCAAAGGAAAAAUGACAGGAUUGUUACAAGGGAUUGCGUCAUGCCACCAGUAACAGGUGCUCUCCAAAUGCUUGUGAGUCAUAGACCCCUAUACAGUUGCCAAGAAAUGAAAAAAGAAGAAAGAAGCAUUUUUAUUUGGACGCACUCAACCACUGUUCAUUUUCUUAACAUUUUUAAUCUUUAUUAGGUAUGCAUUAAAAUAAUUUGGGGAAUUGGUGAAAUAUUAAAAUAUAGUGUGAAUAAGAAAAACAGUAUGUGAUAAUAAAAACUACUAGUUUCCGAUUGGUGAUCCCUCAAAGUGUGAAACUGAAUAAAGGCUAUAUUGCCUAUGACAAAAUUCAA
Molecule: long non-coding RNA, 630 nt
Organism: Pseudophryne corroboree (corroboree frog)
Lineage: Eukaryota; Metazoa; Chordata; Amphibia; Anura; Myobatrachidae
Exons: 4
Source: RefSeq, a predicted model, not a curated record